RNAcentral lists this ribosomal RNA (252 nucleotides) under uncultured bacterium. Its description in RNAcentral is "partial 16S ribosomal RNA". It matches the Rfam family "Bacterial small subunit ribosomal RNA", at positions 524 to 776 of the family's 1533-position model. The record is from RNAcentral.
UACGGAGGAUGCGAGCGUUAUCCGGAUUUAUUGGGUUUAAAGGGUGCGUAGGCGGAGUGCCAAGUCAGCGGUAAAAAUUCGGGGCUCAACCCCGUCGUGCCGUUGAAACUGGCGCCCUUGAGUGGGCGAGAAGUAUGCGGAAUGCGUGGUGUAGCGGUGAAAUGCAUAGAUAUCACGCAGAACCCCGAUUGCGAAGGCAGCAUAGCGGCGCCCGACUGACGCUGAAGCACGAAAGCGUGGGUAUCGAACAGG